AAGUUGUAACAAGGUUUCCGUAGGUGAACCUGCGAAGGAUCAUUAACACGUAUCCAAACGUUAACCCCCUGUGAACCUUUAGUGUGCUCCUACGCUUUGUCAGAGCGUGGCAAUCCCUAGUAAAUCAUCGCCGAACAGUUUUCGAUUUAGGGACUUCCAAAGAGUGUGCUCGUAGCGCGAGGCAAGUGGCCUGGCAUGGUGUCUGAAAGUGUCACUGGCUGUGCAAGGAUGGCGCAGUCACGAUCGUUGGAGGCCGACACGGCCGACGACCGGCUCACGCCCCUUAAUCACAACUUAAUGCAUGUCAGACGCGCCUGCGCUUAAUUGUGCGACCAUAAAACUCGAGCAACUGUUAACAAUGGAUCUUGGUUCUC
RNAcentral lists this unclassified non-coding RNA (374 nucleotides) under fungal sp. RNAcentral's name for it is "partial internal transcribed spacer region". The record is from RNAcentral. Lineage: Eukaryota; Fungi.